GACUACAGGGGUAUCUAAUCCCUUUCGCUCCCCUAGCUUUCGUCCCUGAGUGUCAGUACAGGUCCAGUAGAGCGCCUUCGCCACUGGUGUUCUUCCCAGUCUCUACGCAUUUCACCGCUACACUGGGAAUUCCCUCUACCCCUACCGUACUCUAGUUCACCAGUUUCCACUGCCUUCCCAGGGUUGAGCCCUGGUCUUUAACAGCAGACUUGAUGUGCCACCUGCGGACGCUUUACGCCCAAUAAUUCCGGAUAACGCUUGCAUCCUCCGUAUUACCGCGGCUGCUGGCACGGAGUUAGCCGAUGCUGAUUCCUCAAGUACCGUCAGUGCUUCUUCCUUGAGAAAAGAGGUUUACAACCCAAAAGCCUUCCUCCCUCACGCGGUAUUGCUCCGUCAGGCUUUCGCCCAUUGCGGAAAAUUCCCCACUGCUGCCUCCCGUAGGAGUCUGGGCCGUGUCUCAGUCCCAGUGUGGCUGCUCAUCCUCUCAGACCAGCUACCGAUCGUUGCCUUGGUGCGCUUUUACCACCCCAACUAGCUAAUCGGACGCGAGCCCCUCUUCAGGCCAAAAAAGUUUCACCUCUCGGCAUAUUGGGUAUUAGCAGUCGUUUCCAACUGUUGUCCCCAUCCUGAAGGCAGAUUCUCACGCGUUACUCACCCGUCCG
This 662-nucleotide ribosomal RNA is filed under the name uncultured cyanobacterium. RNAcentral's name for it is "partial 16S ribosomal RNA". The record is from RNAcentral. Lineage: Bacteria; Bacillati; Cyanobacteriota.